UCCGGUCUCCCCGCCCGGCCGCCGCGGAGCCACCUGACCGUGCGGGCGUCCCGGCCCCGAGGCCCGUGCGAGACUCACCUGCCACGUCACGGGCUCCCACGGCGGGCCGGAAGUGGCGUGUGCCUCCCGUGCGGAAAUCCCCCGGUGCGAGCGUCACCUCGGCGGUGCGGAGCGGCGCGGCUCCCUCUUCCCGGAUUCCGCGAGGGUUCCCCGAGGCGACAGGCGUCAGCGUCCGCUCCACUUCACUUUUGUGUCCUGUGCCAGGGGAGAGUGUAAGGGACUUUUUAAAAGAGAGGGUGUGUGUGUCAGACUCGUGCAGAGCCGAGGAGUCCUCUGCUUUGUGCAGGACUUGCAGAAAGAAGCAGUUUCAGUCACAAAGUAUCUGUCCGAACAACGACUUUGUCCUCCGAAACUCUCCUGUGGCUGCAUUUGAGGAACGGUUCCUUUGGCCUCAUUUGCCUGUCACGCACAUCUGCUGGUGUCUGAAGUCACCUGCCGCGAAGCUGCGUCCCCAGUGCAGUCGUCACACGCCAGCCCAGGAGCGCUGGGGAUCAAACCCAAGGCAUGCUAGACAAGCCCUCUACGACUGAGCUACCCUCCCAGCCCCACCGUCAAAUAUAUUUUGAAUGAAAACACUUAGAGUGUCAUCUCUUCUAGCAUUAGGACGUGUGUGUGUGUGUGUGUGUUCUGACUUUUGGCCCUCACUAAUUCCCUCUUCUAAGUUCCUAUUGCACUCGUAGCUAAAACAUCCAACUAACACUUGUUUCUAAACUGUGUUCUAUAGUUUUUUUAGGGUCUUACCUAGUAUGCCAUUUUGUGUCUCUCGUGAUACAGCCCGAAUAGUGUAGUUGAAAUAGUUUUAGCCCCUAAUCCAGCCCCAUCUUCCCUGGGAAGGGCUAAAAGUGAUGGCGCACACCUGUAAUCCCAGCUGGGGAUAUAGCUCAGUGGCACAGUGCUUGCCUUGCAAGCAUGAGGUUAUGAGUUCAAUUCCUAGUACCACCAAGAAAAAAAAAAAUGACAUUUUCCCAAGCCAGGUGUGGUGGCACAUGCCUGUAAUCCCAGCACUUGGGCGGCUGAGGCAGGAGGAUCAUUGUGAGUUUAAGACCAGCCUGGGCUAUAAAGUGAGCGCAAGGCCAGCCUGAACUGCAUAGUGAGACGCUGUCUCAAAAAGACAAAAAAAUGAAUAAAUAAAUACCUGUAAUCCCAGCACUUGGGAAGCUGAGGCAGGAGGAUCAUUUCAAGUUUGCAACGAGCCUGGGCUAAAAAAGUGAGCUCAAGACCUGCCUGAAGUGUAUAGCAAGACCCCGCUGCAAAAAAAAAAAAAAAAAAUGGGGGCUGGGGAUUUAGCUCAGCAGCACAGCACCUGCCUGGCAAGCACGAGGUUAUGAGUUCAGUUCCCAGUACCAGAAAAAAAAUUUUAAAAUUUAAAAUAAAUAAAAGUACUGUACAAUAUCAAAUAACAACUCUUAGGCCAGAUGUAGUGGCACAGGCCUAUAAUUCCAGCAGUUGAGAGGCUAAAGCAGGAGUAUCACUGUGAGGUCAAGGCCAGCCAGGGCCACAAAGUGAGCCCUUGUCUCAAAAAAAAAAAAAAAAGAAAACCUCUUUUUACAUUUCUAACUGCAAGUAUCUCCAUCUGCAAACAUCUUGACACUAUAAUAUUAAAGAUAUGAGACACACUUCCUCUUUAAACCUACCUUUUCCUCAUGAUCCUUUUUUUUCAGUGCUGAGGAUUGAACUGAGAUACAUCCUAGCCCUUUUUCUUAUUUUGAGACAGUUACUAAACUGCUCAGGUGUAGGGAGUGGCUGAAGCUGGAAAGCAGUCACACCUGCAGAGCUAAGACAAAGGCAGCCAUAGAGCCAGGGAGAAACAGCUGAGAGAAAGCCAGCCGUGUAAACAAGCUGUUGCAGCUUGCAAACUGGUUGCUAGGCAGGGAGGGUGAAAUUGACAUCAACCUCCUGAGUGCAUAAAUAAAUGCUUCACAGUUCUUGGGCAGUUCCUUUCCUCUCAUCAGGGGAGAGGGCCAUCUGACCUCAGCUUCCCUCUCUUGUCUUUAUUUCUAAAUUCUUGGUUGGGGAUGGGAUGCAGCUCAGUGGCACAGCACCUGUCAGGCAAGGUCCUGGGUUCAAUUCCUGGUACCAAAAAAAGGAAAAUAUUAAAUAUUUCUAAACCCUCUGGCCAUUUUUCCUGGGACCAUGGUGCCAAACAGGGAGCUAGUAAGGAAAAACAAGUGGGUAAAGGGACACUUCUCCCUUUGCUCGAAAUGGGGGGAUGGGAGAAGUGCAUUGGUGGUGUCAGUAUUCAGCAGAGGGGUGCACUGGUAUUGGCAGUUAUCAGGUAUAAAACUCGGGGCGUGGAGGUCUACUGACCUUAAAAAAAUAAAUAAACAAAUAAAAAUGAAAGUAGGCCUUGAAGCAAAAAGGGAAAAGGUGUAUUGAUUUACUAGUUAAGCAUGGGGCAAACAGUGUCAAGAACCACGUAUAUGUGUGUAGAAGUGGUUUUUGCAUGCCUGAUUCCUAUAUUUACCUUCCUUUUGUGGAUUUUGGCUAGAGGAAGUUUUACAACCACAAAGGAUUCAGCUGGGAGUACUUUUUUUUUUUUUUUUUUUUUUUGAGACAGGGACUCACUAUGCAGUUCAGGCUGGCCUUGAGCUCACUUUGUAGCCCAGGCUGGUCUCGAACUCAUAAUGAUCCUCCUGCCUCAGCCUCCCUAGUGCUAGGAUUACAGGCGUGUGCCACCAUGCCCGGCUGGGAGCACUAUUUUAAAAUCAAGUUCCAGCAGGAAAAGGAGGGCGAGGCAACAGCCCUAGCAUAGACCUUGAGCCCUCUAGCUUUGUUCAAUCAGAUAAAGAAGCCAGACCAGCAGGCAAGGGUUUUCAACGUGUCUACCCUGUUACUGAAGUUCAAACUCCCAAUGAUUCAGGACAAAUUACAUGCCUUUGGGUUUGUACAGAUAUUAGUCCCUCAUAUGUACAGGGUCCUACCUUGGUAGCAGGUAUCACUCAGGUUAUUCAUUCACAGCCUGGAGGAAAGGGGAAGAAACAAGGCUGCUUGUUUCUGUUGUGGGGACAAGGAACAUUUUGCCCAAAACUGCCCUGCCGCACCUGUAAAAGCAACACAGCCAUUAACUGCAUCUUCAACAAAACCUUCCUGUCCCUGUAUAAAGUGUAGAUGAGGGUCAACUGAGUGUCGAUUCAAAACUGAUGUGGAAGGCCAACCUACUUUAAGAAACUUCCAGCAGGGCUUGCUACAGUCCUGCCAAACAGUAGGGGUGCUAUGGUCUGGGGAGUUUCCCUGAGACCUCGUCCCUGCUAGGUGUGGUGGGCUCCUCCUGGUUGGGAGGAAAUGCUAAGAAGAAAGCCAAUCAUCCGGACCUCUACUGACGUUUAAAGGGUUAUUUAACAGGGAAAAACUGCUGCUUUCUGCUCCUCUCACCACUUCUCACAGGCCCCCAGGCAGGAGAGGAAACCAAAGAACUCUGUGAGCCUGGAGUUUGGCCCAGACAAGGGCGGUAGGAGGAACGAUGUUGGGUGUUUCAGCUGCAAGGGUGAAAAUUAUGGUUCUAAUGUAAUAUAAUAUUGAUAGACUUAAUACUGGCUCUUAAGGAUUGUUAAACCUGUGUUGUGAUGUUCAAGUUGUGGGAUGAUAAAAAUAAGCUUGUCUUUGUAUCUGAAAGUGAUUUUUUAAAAAAUGUGGCUGUUUGCCAACUUGACAAGGGGUGAAUUGGAAUGGCUGAUACAUGGUGUCAACUUGAGAAGUUUAGAAGCUUGGCUGAGUAAUGGGGGUGGGGCUAGAGUCCUCACUUUGUGAACAUCCUCAGCCUGUGCAGGAGAAGAGCGUGGAGAUGGUGUGCAUACUGCACCACCUUAGAUGGGGAGCCUGCUUACAGUGUGGGGGAGAAAAGGACAGGUUUUUCUUUUCUGCACUUAAGACUAACAAUGGUCCAGCAUAUACAAGUGCUGCUUUCCUCCAAAUGUUUUGUAAAACGUUUGUUAUUUCCCUUGUCAUAGGAAUUCCUUAUAAUCCUCAGGGUCUAAAAAAAUGUUAAACAUGCUCAUCCUGUGUUCAAAAUUCAAUUACAAAAACAAAAGGGGGAGUCCAUCCCUCCCACUUCACGUGGCAGUGUAUACUGUUACAAUUCAAUCAGGUAAAGCUAAAAAGCUAAUUUAGGGUUGAGGAUAUGCUUGUAUUUUGCUAGAACAUGCUGUCCAGCCAUAUCAUAAACUCAGAUCUGCAGAAAAAGUUGUUUCUACCUUUCAGGAAGCUGGUGCACAGUCCUGUGACAGUGACACCUUGAAGACUGCUCUGCAACAGAGAGACAGGGAUGAGGCUAGAUCUGACCUGGGGCCUAUCGAAGGAACUGACCCAGAAUGCCCAGGAGAUGGUAACCAAAAUGGGAAUCAAAGGUCUGAGUAGGUGAUAGAACAUAUAGAAAUAACUGGGCUAAAAGGUACCAGUAUUCUUAAGAUAAAACAAAAUACAAAAAAUAUAUAUUAAUUAUAGAUAAAAGAAUUUAUUGCUUCCAAAUUCUUCUUCUAAGAGCUCUGCACUAAUUGACAAUAAAAUCUGUCUAGUUUAUUUAUAAUUAAAAAUUUAUAAAAUUGUAGAAUUACUAUAAUUCAAUUUGGUCAAAAAUAUAUUUGAGUGCACUCUGAUUUUAUAACAUAUGUGCUUGUUUGUUCAACCUGUUAAGCUGUGUACUUGUUAUUUGUCUGUCCAUUCCCUGAACAUCUGUUCCAUUUUUAUUUGAACUCAACAAUUUAUUCUCUUUUCCUUUUUUCUUUUGCAUUUUUGGAUCAUUUGUUCAUAAUACAAUUUGGGUUCUAGAUUUAAAAGCAUGCUUCCACCUGUGUUACUAGCUGGUCAAAAAUGAUAUCAAAAUUUGUUUUUCUCAUAGGUCAUCAAAAAAAUUAAGAUAAUUAAGAUAAACAAAAAUUCCUUAGGGUGGAGAGAGAUUAUUGGACAGGACUCCAAUUGGUGAAUAGAGGAUUGGCCAACCUUUGUUCAUUAAUACGGAGCUCCUAAUGAUCUCCAUAAUCUUAUGGGAGACAACCCCAAUAAUUCGGUCACAGUCAAAAGGUAAAGUUUUCUAGAAAAAAAUGCAAUAAGAUUUUCUCGCAAAAGAUGCACUUAGUACAAAACUAAAUUAAAAAAUAAAGGUUUUCACAUGUGUAUGAUAGUUACUGUUAAUCUCAUGGUGUAUUAGAUGUAUUCGUGACUCCAGAUGUACAGGUCUUCCAAAAUGUAAAAGAAGGAUUGCUGAUGGUGUUAAGACUUUUCUUUGAACUCAAACCUCUGCCAUUAACAAAAAACUUGGGGCUGGGGAUUUAGCUCAGCGGCACAGCACCUGCCUGGCAAGCACAAGGUCAUGAGUUCAGCUCCCAGUACCGGAAAAAAAAAAACAAAAACCAAACCUUGUGACGUACAUCCCAUUAAAGGACAACAAAUUAGAUAAAAGUUUCUUAUGUGUUAGACAGAGAUAAUUGGUUAAAAGUGUCAUGUUAUGUCAAAAUGAAAAUUUGUGUUACAAAAUGUC
RNAcentral lists this long non-coding RNA (5533 nucleotides) under Chinchilla lanigera (long-tailed chinchilla). Its description in RNAcentral is "lncRNA (ENSCLAG00000022437.1)". The stretch from base 931 to 1002 matches the Rfam family "tRNA". Lineage: Eukaryota; Metazoa; Chordata; Mammalia; Rodentia; Chinchillidae. The record is from RNAcentral.